AAUUUUCCUCCAUAACCUAUAGUAUAACCUCCUAUAGUUUUGUCCCCCAACCAAAAGUGUCAAAGACAAGGUGGGUAAGUACUAUACAAAGAUUAUUUGUUAACAGCUCACAUACAUCUGAUCAACGUAUAUAUACCAAUCAGCUAAGAAAUCAAUGGUAGAUCUUCACUUUCUAGCCUGAUGGUGUGUUCGAGUUUAUCCUGCUAGCUGCUGGGCAGGAUCGGUCCUGUGUUUGUCGGGGCCCGAGGCAAAGUCCAAAAAUUAGGCCCCCAAAACCAACGUAAAUACAAAAUUCAACGAUAUAUUAUGUAAAAUAUUGCCAACUUAAAACUUAACAUUAGAACAACAAACAAAAAUCUCAAUCAUCUCACAAUUAAUGAAAAAACUAUUUUCCUUUUCCUUUUAAAAAAAAAAAAAAAAAACUUUUGAGUCAAAAUAGGCCCCCAAUGGUCUUGGGCCUGAGCCAUAUGUCUCAUUUGCCUGGCCACGGGACCGGCUCUGCUGCUAGGGAUGAGGACAGGUUCAUUACUCGAAGUUUUCAUUGCAGCAAUUUCUUCCAAGCGUUUCCAUGUCGCUUCUCGUAUCAUCCGGGUUCCUUCUUCUCUUGCUUUGUCUUCUUGGAACUUGAGCAAACAUUCCUCGAACAGCUUGGGAACUGUGUCACUGAAAAUUUUCUGGACAUUUAGUGUCAAGCUCUGUACAGCCUGGUUCCAGUGAUUUUUUCCCUUCCAAUGCAGGGAAGAUAAUUGGGAGUAUUACUUUACGAUUUUGUUUGAUAAGGUUCUCGAUAUGAUCAUUGUUCCACAAAAAUAAAGCCCUCUCUGCAACCUGGAGAAACAAGAAUUGUACAAUGAAAAUGGAGUUAUCACCUUCUUUAGUUAGAAAGCAUAUUAUUGAAUUAAAAAAUAUCAUAAAUUACAGUCAUCAUCAAGGAAAAGAUAAGCUCUGGAAUGCCAUAUAAACUAUGCAGAGUACAAAAUAUAUAGGAAGUAUUAAUAAUCUGAAUCAUCUCAAUAAUAUCAAGAGUCAGAUUUAAUUACGAAAAUUGGGUCGGGGAAAGGGACUUCCACAAAUCUAAA
Molecule: long non-coding RNA, 1079 nt
Filed under: Olea europaea subsp. europaea
Lineage: Eukaryota; Viridiplantae; Streptophyta; Magnoliopsida; Lamiales; Oleaceae
Source: RNAcentral